GAGCAUGUGCAGGAGCGGCUUAACUGGACCCUUUGGCAAAGGGGUUGGAUUGAAAGGAAAUUAACAACUUUUCAAUCUCGUGGGUUCGAAUCCCACCAUGCUCU
Molecule: transfer RNA, 104 nt
Filed under: Candidatus Poribacteria bacterium
Lineage: Bacteria; Candidatus Poribacteria
Description: tRNA-Ala
Rfam family: tRNA
About the family: Transfer RNA (tRNA) molecules are approximately 80 nucleotides in length.
Source: RNAcentral